AGGGGCGUCGUAUAAUGGUAGUACGGGGGUCUCCAAAACCUCUAGCGCGGGUUCGAUUCCUGCCGCCCCUGCCA
This 74-nucleotide transfer RNA is filed under the name Parcubacteria group bacterium ADurb.Bin192. RNAcentral describes it as "tRNA-Trp". It matches the Rfam family "tRNA". From Rfam's summary of the family: Transfer RNA (tRNA) molecules are approximately 80 nucleotides in length. Their secondary structure includes four short double-helical elements and three loops (D, anti-codon, and T loops). The record is from RNAcentral. RNAcentral also lists the same sequence under 4 other names.